This 1399-nucleotide ribosomal RNA is filed under the name Chilo suppressalis (striped riceborer). RNAcentral describes it as "16S ribosomal RNA". Lineage: Eukaryota; Metazoa; Arthropoda; Insecta; Lepidoptera; Crambidae. The record is from RNAcentral.
GUAGAGAGGGGUAAAUUAAUAAAUUUUAUAAUUAAUAAAAAUAAUUUUAAUAUUAAAAUGGGGGUUUUAGUAUUAAUAUAGAAAAAAUUAAUAAAUUUAUAGUCAAUUAGUAUUGUAAAAUAAUUUUGAAAUAUUAUUAAAAUAAAAUUAUUAAAAAGUAAUUUUUAAUUAGUGUAUCUUGGGUAUCAGAGUUUAUUAAUAAAAUUAUUUAAUAUAAAAUUUUCUCGAAUUAAAAAGAGAUAAUUAAUUAUUAAAGUUAUUGUUACAUAAAUAUUUUAAAUAGUUAAUUUGAAAUGAGAUGUUAAUCGUUUUUUAAGAUAUCUAGUUUUUUUAGAAAAAAGUUUAAGUUUAAAUUUAAUUUAUUAAAUUAAUUUUUUUUUAUUAAUUAAUUUAAAUUAAAAUUUUAUAUUUUAAGGGAUAAGCUUUAAAAUAAAUUUUUAUAAUUAAUAAAUUUAAAAUAAAAAAUUUUAAGAUUUAUAUUGUUUAAAAAUUAUAAUUUAUUUAUAAAUAAUUUUAAUUUAAUUAAAAAUUUAAAAAAAAAAUUAAUUUAAUUUUUUAUAAAAAAAUAAAUUUUAAUAAAAUAAAUUAAAUUAUAAUGAUAAAAUUAGUAUUUAUAAAUUUUUAAAUUAAAAUUAAUAAUUUAAAUAAGUAAUAUAAAGGAAUUCGGCAAAUUUUUAUAUUCACUUGUUUAUCAAAAACAUGUCUUUUUGUUAUAUAAUUUAAAGUCUAAUCUGCCCACUGAUGAAUAUUAAAGGGCUGCAGUAAUUUGACUGUACAAAGGUAGCAUAAUAAAUAGUCUCUUAAUUGGUGACUUGUAUGAAUGAUUGGAUGAAAUAUAAACUGUCUCUUUAUUAAUAAAAUAACUUAAUUUUUUAAUUAAAAAGUUAAAAUGAUUUUAAAAGACGAGAAGACCCCAUAGAGUUUUAUAGAUAAUAAUUAAUUAAAGUUUUAUAUAAAUUUAUGAAUUAAAAUUAUUUUUUCUAUUAUGUUGGGGUGAUAAAAAAAUUAAAUUAACUUUUUUUUAAAAAGUUAACAUAAAUAAGUGAAAGUAAUGAUCCAAAAUUUUUGAUUAAAAGAUUAAAUUACCUUGGGGAUAACAGCGUAAUUUUUUUUUUUAGUUCAAAUAAGAAAAAGAGUUUGCGACCUCGAUGUUGGAUUAAGAUAAAAUUUAAAUGCAAAAGUUUAAAAUUUUUGAUCUGUUCGAUCAUUAAAAUCUUACAUGAUCUGAGUUCAAACCGGCGUGAGCCAGGUUGGUUUCUAUCUUUAAAAAAUUGAAGUAUUUUAGUACGAAAGGAUCAAAUAUUUAAAUUAGAUUUAUUUUAAAGAAUAUUAUUAAUUUAAUUAUAAAUAUAUGUAAUUAUAUACAAUAAAUAUAUAAUAUAGAUGGGUAAAUAAUUAG